This 4948-nucleotide long non-coding RNA is filed under the name Sus scrofa (pig). RNAcentral describes it as "lncRNA (ENSSSCG00050047249.1)". The record is from RNAcentral. Lineage: Eukaryota; Metazoa; Chordata; Mammalia; Artiodactyla; Suidae.
CUUUUUGCCUUUUCUAGGGACGCUCCUGUGGCAUAUAGAGGUUCCCAGGCUAGGGGUCUAAUCCGAGCUGUAGCCACCGGCCUAUGCCAGAGCUUACAGCAGCACGGGAUCCGAGCUGCGUCUGCAACCUCCACCACAGCUCAUGGCAGUGCCGGAUCCCCAACCCACUGAGCAAGGCCAGGGAUCGAACCCGCAACCUUGUGGUUCCUAGUUGGAUUCGUUAACCACUGAGCCACGACAGGAACUCCAAGCUCACAAUAACUUUUGUUGAAUAUAACUAUUUGAAUGUACUUUCACUAUAUUUAUUAUUAUAUAAGAAUUUUAAACAACUAAAACCAACUCGCACACAUAUUUAGAGCCUAACUUGCUGGGAGUAUAGGUAGACAAAGACCCCUGGGAAACAACAACUAAUUUUUUCACUAAAAUCAAAUUGCAAAGCAGCUACUUUGCACAUCCAUAGCUAGGCACCGUACUAUGGGUUGCAAGUAAUAAAAAGUUGUUAGUUACAGACUCUGUUCUAUAGGGCUAUUUUAGAAGAGCAAAUCGUGUUCUCACAAAAAGAGAGACCAAAAUAGAAAGUGUCAUAGGAAUUUAGACAAGGGAGAAACACAUCUGACAGGAAAAGGAAGGUGGAUGUGGGGAAGGCUUUACAGAAGAGGCAGUGUCUGAUGUGAGCAAGGUUUCAACAUGUAGCAAGCAGGAUGAGUGAAAGAAACAAAUUAAUGAUAUUAUGGCGAGUAAACUGGAAAUAAAUACCACUUGGUUUUGGCUGGUCAUGGGGUAAUUUAAAGGGAUAAUGAGAAACUAGAUAAUGAGAUAUUUCAGUGCCUCAUAUAUAUUACUUAUUAAUAAUAUUUUAAGCAUAAGCAUUUAAAAAAGAACAAUAUGGGGUAGAAGAUUAGGAGGUACAAACUGUUUUGUAUAUAAUAAGCUAUGAGGAUAUAUUGCACAACAUAAGGAAUAUAGUCAUAAUUUAUAAUAACCACGAACAGAAUAUAACCUUUAAAAAUUGUAACUAUAUUGUACACUGGUAAUAUAUAUUACACAUCAAUGAUAUUUUAAGUUAAAAAUAUUAUUUUACACUUACAUGUGGAAUCUAAAAAAAGGACACAAUGAACUCUGCAAAGCAGAUACUGACUCACAGACUUUGAAAAACUUAUGGUUUCCAAGUGAGACAGAUUGGGGGGUGGGGGAUGCAUUGAACGUUUGGGAUGGAAAUGCUAUAAAAUUUGGUUGUGAUGAUCGUUGUACAACUAUAAAUGUAAUAAAAAUUCACUGAAGGCCAUUGACUACUUUAAAAAUAGCACUAUUUCUACCCAUUCUCAAUGGAGGCAAUGGCGAAAUACAAAUGACAACUCUUCUUCCGCCUUAUUAACCCUACUUUUCUUUUUCCAUCUUUCAAAAUCUCAGGAUAAGGCUAUUUCAAUUGUAGCUAAUGACAGUAAUGAAAAACCAGAAAAUGACUUUUGUUAGGAGAGGGCAACUUUGAUUCCUAAAUAUGUACUCAAUUUACUGAUAAUACUGACCACCACUGGAGUAAAUUUUUAUGUGAUUAGAAAGCAACAUAUUGAUUUCUUUUUUCAUUUGUUUGCUUGUUUGUUGGCCUUGUCUAUGGCAUUGGAGAGUUCCUGGGCCAGGGAUGAAAAUCACACCACAGCAGUGACCCACUGUCCAUCCACUGACAAUGCUGGAUCCUCAUCCUUAACCCGCUGCACCACAGGAAAACUCCAGCAACAGACUGACUUCUAUUCUAUCUUGUCAAAACUACAAAAAGUUCCUACAGUUCAUUUAGCAUCUAAUAGUGCACAUCUUCCUAUUUUGUAUUCCUCCUCCAUUUCUUAACACUAGGCAAUUAAUGUUUCCUUUCUCUGGUAAUUUUUUUUUUUUAAAAAGGGAAAUAAAGUCAUAAAUCAGUUUUAGUCGGGAAAUCAUACACAUAUUUCUUCCUAGGACUCUGAAUUUAGAAACUUGCCUCAGAAAUUGUUUAAAUAUAAUAAAGCCCAGAUGCAGAAAUCCUUUAAAUUUAAUUAUCAUAUUCAGUUGUACUGAAACAAGAAAUUAAAUUUUCUAUCUUGUUUUCUUUCUUCCCAAAAAGGCUUCUCCAACCCUCAUCCAUAACUUCAUGCAUCCUCACCUGUAAAAUCACUGGCAGUUAUGACACCAGCUUAGGCAGCACCAAUCUCCUAAUCCUGACCCAUUUCCUAUCAAAGAAUUCAGUUUUUCCAGAAACCAAGUAAUAGACGCUGUCAAUUUCUUACCAUCAUUAGGAUAUAUUCACGUCUUAUACUUCAGUAUAAAGACAGUUUUUAAAAUUACAGAAAUUCUUAUAGUACUUAAGGUCAGUUGCACUAAUCUGUAUGCUGUAUGUCACAUACUUUGGGCUACUUUCUUAAAAAUGAAUUAUUAUUUUAACAUGUUUCUCACUCUCACUUAUUAUCAGAAUAAUUAUUCCUAUGGUUGAAUAUUUUAUGAUUAGGCCAGAAAGGUGGUAGAAUAAAGGGUUUUGCUGUUCUCCUUUGUUCCCCUAGUUGGUGUGCCAGAGUCAAAUUUUUGGAAUUCUGAAAUUUAACAUUUCAAACACAAACUACAUUCAACAGAUAAUAAUAACAACAAAAACAAGCCAAAAAAAAAAAAAAAUUUUGACCCAGAGGUUUUCAUGGUCCAGGAAAACAGUUCCUGGAAUGGGCCACUUGGAAUAGGAUUUGCCCACUCCCUCCACUCCUUCUGCCCCAAAUACUGACGGUAGAGACAAAGAAACCAAUUCCAGUCUUUUCAAAGUGUAUUUAUAAAUUGAGAAUUUAUCACCAAAAACCAAUAAUGAUGUAUAAUAGAAUGAACAUGAUUUUGCAGAACCAAUAUCUUCGUCUAAAAACAAUAUUUAAAAAAGCAGAGCUAAUAUUUUUCGCUAUAAACCCUGCCCCGCUUUUCCACUGAUUUCCUAUUUCAAUUUGCUAAAAUAAAACUGCUCAGCUUUUGAGUCCAAUUGACUCUUUCAUUGCAAAUGUAAAGAUAACAAAUCUCCUUUUAAAUAGAAUGGUGGCACACAGAACACCACACAGUCUGGCUUAUUGCAACUGUUCUCCGUUGGUGAAGUGGCACAUUUGCAAUCCCCACCACAGCCAUCUUAACCAUUUCACAGAAUAACAUUCACAUGUACAUCCCUCCGUGGGCAACAGGAAGAGGCAGGAGCUUGGCAGCAAGGCACUUGUGUGGGGAAAUCCUAGGUUAGAACCCUUAAAAGGGGAGACUAACUUGAGGAUGCUCAAAUAUCCUGAAGUUUAAAUUGGGCCAGCUCCCCUGGCUUUCUGACUGCCUGUGGGGAAAGCCUCUCUGGAAACUCUUUGGAGGUUAUUGAGGAAUCCUAGGACAAAUGCACUGCUUGCUUUUGAGGGAGGGCUUGCCUCAUACUCUACCAAGCUAGAUAUCUCACAACCCAGAUGGAUUUAAAAAGAUCCAAGUAAAUACUGGAUAGACUGACACUCACAUUUCUACUUCCACCUACUCCCAUGCACAGGGAGCAAAAUACGUAGGUAUGGACCGCUUUCUCACACCCCAACAGUUUCUGCUGUCCUCGAAAGCUGGCCAGUAGCCACAGGCGCUACAAUGGAGUUAUCAGAAACCAUAUCGGUAAUAGGCUUAAAGGAUUUUUCAUACCAUGUAUUAGGGUGACGGACACAGGUAACAGCUCAAACGCGGUGAAGAGCAAUGCCCUUUCUGGGUCCUUGACAAAAUCAGUCAUGGAACAGAGGUGGUGGACAGGAGCUGAAAAGAGUGGCGUGGGAAGGGGCACAGCAUGGGAGGGGGGGUAAUCAAUGACAUGAUUGACAAGAGAAGAUGGUAAAUUGAAAGGAGAAGUAGAGACAAGUGCUGCUAACCCAAGCUGAACUCCAAGAGAUAAGUUUCUCCUCUAAUGUGAGACUCCUUCUAAAGGUUCCAUUGAAGUGGCUGUUUGACAUUGAAAUGUGCACAACCCCAUUCUGAUAACUGGAAAGGGAGAGGGUAGAGGAAGGAGGAAGAAGAAGGAAGAUUCCUGAUUACUUCUCCAGGCUGCUGCCAAGGACCUGCUGCUCCCAAAGCAGAAAUUAACCAAGUGAAGGUUGAAGGUAGCAGCGUAAAUGUGCAGCUCAAAAAUUAUUUUACAUUUUGAAUCCUCUUCAAUGUCUAAGCGAGUCUGGCUUUGCAAUGGUUGAUUAUCUUUAAAGAGUAUAAAGGCUGACCGCCUUCUUUGUUUGCCCAGUAACACCGCUCCUCCAAUCUCAGGCACUUGGCUGAUUAACAUUUCAAUUCCAGUUGUUGCUCCCUUUCCCACUGCAGAAUGCAGGAGGGACAUUCCCCUUCUUCCCUCUCGGGGCUGCUUACCUUCUCCGGAUCAAGUCAGCGCAUGUCCCCAGCGCCCACUGCCCCGGGGCCGCAGUGCCACCGCGCCGGGCCGGUACGUGGUCAGCUCCACCGGCCCCCACCCCACCUGCCAGCUGCAGCAGCUGCUCCCGCCGCCAAGCUCCGGCCGCAUGAAGUCAUCCCCCGCCCCGGGCCGGAUCGCCACAUUCCGCGCCAGCCGCGGGGGGAGAGGGACAUCUCCCGGCUGCAGGGACUGGCUCCUGGAAAUUGUGACCGACGACCGCUACCCUUCCCGCUUUUAGGAUAAUUUUCUAUUAAUGCUUUUACCGAGGACGCGUCGCUGGACGGGAGACCGAGAGAGAAGAGCCAGAGAGACUUUCUCUGCAUAGCGCCUUUCCGCCGAGCGCUCCCCUGUCCCUCCCGCGGCAUGGACAGCUCCAUUCUGCUGUGUGGGUUUCCCACCCUCUUCAUCUUCCUUAUCAGUAUUGUUCAUUUCGCUAAAUUUGAGAGUGGAAUUAGCUUUUAAGAUAAACAUUCAGAUACUCCGAAAAUGUUUUAAAUUGGCAACCAGUUUUUCCAAACCUCUUGUAUCAGGCUCUACUUUCUCCCA